RNAcentral lists this ribosomal RNA (450 nucleotides) under uncultured bacterium. RNAcentral's name for it is "bacterial SSU rRNA". It matches the Rfam family "Bacterial small subunit ribosomal RNA", at positions 355 to 796 of the family's 1533-position model. The record is from RNAcentral.
UGGGGAAUUUUCCGCAAUGGGCGAAAGCCUGACGGAGUGACGCCGCGUGGGGGACGAAGGCCUUCGGGUUGUAAACCCCUGUCAGAGGGAAAGAAGGGUCGCUGGGUUAAUACCCCGGUGAUCUGACGGUACCUUCAGAGGAAGCCCCGGCCAACUCUGUGCCAGCAGCCGCGGUAAGACAGAGGGGGCAAGCGUUGCUCGGAAUCACUGGGCGUAAAGGGCGCGUAGGCGGGUCCGCAAGUCGAUCGUGAAAUCCUUCGGCUCAACUGAAGGGGGUCGGUCGAUACUGCGGGUCUUGAGGGAUGCAGAGGAGACUGGAAUUCCCGGUGUAGCGGUGAAAUGUGUAGAGAUCGGGAGGAACACCGGUGGCGAAGGCGGGUCUCUGGGCAUCUCCUGACGCUGAGGCGCGAAAGCGUGGGGAGCAAACGGGAUUAGAUACCCCCGUAGUCC